GGCAGAGUCCUUAGUCUUUUGAACUGAAGUGGUGAGAGUUUACACCCUGUCUUGUUCCUGACUAUAGAAGAAAAGCUCUCGUUUUCUCCCCACUGAAGAUUAUAUUAGCUAUAAUGUUGAUUUCUACCUCCUCACCCCAACCAUCUUAAAUUUUGAGGUAAUCAACCUACAACCUGGGGAGGCCUGGUACCUUCAGCUUCUCCUUGGCCAGCUCUGGAAGAAGUGGCCUGUUUCCCCAAGAGCCACAUCAUCACAGCAGA
Molecule: long non-coding RNA, 260 nt
Organism: Lontra canadensis (Northern American river otter)
Lineage: Eukaryota; Metazoa; Chordata; Mammalia; Carnivora; Mustelidae
Exons: 3
Source: RefSeq, a predicted model, not a curated record